GACGAACGCUGGCGGCGUGCUUAACACAUGCAAGUCGAACGGAAAGGCCCUGCUUUUGUGGGGUGCUCGAGCGGCGAACGGGUGAGUAACACGUGAGUAACCUGCCCUUGACUUUGGGAUAACUUCAGGAAACUGGGGCUAAUACCGGAUAGGAGCUCCUGCUGCAUGGUGGGGGUUGGAAAGUUUCGGCGGUUGGGGAUGGACUCGCGGCUUAUCAGCUUGUUGGUGGGGUAGUGGCUUACCAAGGCUUUGACGGGUAGCCGGCCUGAGAGGGUGACCGGCCACAUUGGGACUGAGAUACGGCCCAGACUCCUACGGGAGGCAGCAGUGGGGAAUAUUGCACAAUGGGCGGAAGCCUGAUGCAGCAACGCCGCGUGCGGGAUGACGGCCUUCGGGUUGUAAACCGCUUUCGCCUGUGACGAAGCGUGAGCGACGGUAAUGGGUAAAGAAGCACCGGCUAACUACGUG
This 468-nucleotide ribosomal RNA is filed under the name uncultured bacterium. Its description in RNAcentral is "partial 16S ribosomal RNA". It matches the Rfam family "Bacterial small subunit ribosomal RNA", at positions 28 to 507 of the family's 1533-position model. The record is from RNAcentral.